This is a long non-coding RNA of Hemicordylus capensis (graceful crag lizard), 3526 nucleotides long. RefSeq lists it as uncharacterized. The transcript has 4 exons. The record is from RefSeq and is a predicted model, not a curated record. NCBI's taxonomy places the organism in Eukaryota, Metazoa, Chordata, Lepidosauria, Squamata, Cordylidae.
UAUUCCAGUCACCAUUGGGGCCAAGUAGGAAUUUUGGGGGAAUUUGACUGGCUAAUGUUGGGGCUUUUUUUUGGCCUACUCCUCACUGAUUUCAUUAAGGCAGUCCCUGGAGUUAAUUGUAGGUCAGGGUAAGAUGAUGUAGGUCAGGGUAGGUUAAUUUACAUUGGUGUCGGGUUGGAGGGCCAUUAUGGUGAGUGGGAAAAUGGAGGAAGGCUUGGUGAUCUCACAACUCUCAGGCUGGAUCUGUUCCCACUCGGAUGCAUGCCAGCGAACACAGCACAGUGCCUUGCAACCUGGGUUGAGGUGGGCUGGCAUGCAUCUCCUCCACGUGGUAGAGAAGAGGUUUGGACUGGGUACCGAGCCAAAUCAAAGCCCAGUCCUUCACCCUCCUGUGGGAAUACCUUCUUUGAGAUUGACCCACAUAGGGGAUACCCACACUUUAGUUAAGAUUCCUCAUUGCAGGUUUUGUAAAUAUUCAAUGAAGUGGCCCUAGUUUUUUCCACCUACGCAUGUCCUGUCAUUAUUUGUCCUGGGUUUGCAAAGACAAAUCCCCCUCGUAUUAACUGUGACAGGAGACUGGCAUUCUAUAUGGACCUGUGGUCCUUUUAGAGCACACCUACCAGCAGGGGUGGUUCUUCCACGAGGCAAGAUUGAACAACAGAUAUUUGGGGUACCAGCAGGUGGCAAGAAACCCCCCAGAGCCUCAUCUGUCUCCCUCUGCCUACUACCAUCAGAGCAGCUCUUCCCUGAGUGGAGGUACAGCCAACUGUCCAGCAAAGAACAGCUCUGAUAGUCCUCCAUUGUGACUCCAACUAAUCCUCAUAGUGUGGCACACACCUUAUCUCCCUUCUGUGAUGCUGCCAGGCUAGUAAUGAAAAGGGGUGUCAAGCAGAAGAGGAAGUAAUUUUCCUGAUUUACACACCUGAAGUACCCCCAGUGGUCAGUAACUGCCUGCAUCACUCUGCAUAGAAUAUCAGCCACUGUUUACUAAAUAUCUUACUAUGAAAAGGAGAGGGGAGCCAAAGAGGAAAGGAUGAAAGAACUGUAGAGUACAGGAGACACUCUACAGAAUGUUUAGACACUCUAUAACAGUUUAUUCUACUGCUCUCAGUAUAUGCUCUGUACCGCACCUCCUCUACACUACUGCCCUUUCAUCACUUCCUCUUCCUUCGCUUUGUUGUUUCCUUUGGUAAAAGAGGAGGAUGAGGAUGUAAGUGUUAGAACAUAAGAAUAGUCCUGCUGGAUCAGGCUCAAGGCCCAUCUAGUCCAGCAUCCUGUUUCACACUGCCCACCAGAUUCCUCUGAGAAGCCCAAAGGCAGGAGCUGAGAGCAUGCCCUAUCUCCUGCUGUUGCUCUCCUGCAACUGAUAUUUAGAGGCAACUUACUUCUUAGGCUGGAGCUGACUUAUAGCCCUCAGACUAGUAGCCAUUGAUAGACUUGUCAUCCAUGAAUUUAUAAGAACGUAAGAACAGCCCUGCUGGAUCUGGCCCUAUCUAAUCCAGCAUCCUGUGGCUCACCAGAUGCCUCCAAGAAGCUCACAGGGUGAUUCAGUUGAUACAGUCUACCUGGACUUCCAAAAAGCUUUCGACAAAGUUCCUCAUCAAAGACUCCGGAGAAAAUUUAACAGUCAUGGGAUAAGGGGACAAGGACAAGUGGAUUUCUAACUGGUUGAAGGACAGGAAACAGAGGUGUCACCGCAGAGUCAUCCUCACCUACAGUGGUUCCUCCAGAUGGGACUAUCUACCCUUACAGGAGCGCUUGACGUUUCCCAGGUGUCAGCUUGCCAUGGAACCUGGAAAUUUAAGAAUGGCCACUAAGUGAGGCAAUGGACAGACAAGGCCAGGGAGAGGAGCGAGCGAGGUGGAAGUAAACAAGAAGAAAACAUACAAAACAACAAUACUCGGCACUGUACAAGAAGCUAACUAGACAACGCCCACCUUCAAUCACUUGCAGAGAAGGAAAAAAGGCAACUAGGAACGUUAUUUCACUGUUACAGAUAUACUGGAUUAACUGACAGAGGACGUCUAUCAAUAUCAGAGGAAGCCUAUCAAUAUCUAUCAAGCUGAGAUUUCUAAGAGUUUCUCUGUUCAAGGUUAAGAGAAAGAACUGCCAACAGGGUUAAAUGCAUCAGAAUGCACAACAUUAGACAAAUACACAGGACCAAGUUUAACUAAAUGCCCUUGUACAUACAGGAUCAUACAGAGUGAAGCUCUGAGUAUUAGAAAAUGAAGUAAUACAAUUACAGCCAAUUUACCUCUACAGUAUAUUUGACCUAUUUUAAGCCCUGGGCCAGCAACUACACAACACACACACAAUUAUGCACCUGCUUUUUCUCUUGGAACCAUACAUAGGAAUUACCAGUAAAACACAAGAUACUGCAUUGCAAUUACAGCAAAAGAACAAUGCAUAUCCUUCAGAUUCUCUCUCCCGAAAAAUAGGGUUUAUCAUAUAUACGAGGCUUACAUUAUUUUGCUGGGCUUCCACAAAAAUGCUUAGUGUUUGACGGAUUCUGCUACACACUAUGUAUGCAUACAUUUAGUCUCCAAUACAACUGUUACAAGGCAGCUGCAAGGUUAUCAGCAGUCACUUUCAAAAGAGAAACGGAAUAACUGAUGAAUACGCUUAGAAACCCUUUCUCCAUUUGCUAAGGAAUGCCAUUGCUCAAUUGUCAUGCUCUGCAUCUUUCAUAUUACACAGAAAACAUGAACGUACCAAAUAUGAAGUCAUAGCACUUCUGAAACACACCUCGUAAUCUUCCACAGAUUCUGCAGUUCAAUAUAAAAAUCUCAGUAGUUUCCCCCCCGCUUUAUCUCCAGUCUGUAAUGUAAAUAAAAUCCACAUCCAGCAUACUGACUCUUUCAUUAAAAGCAAGCAAAGAUGAGUAGAAAAAUGAAUGUGAAUAUCUGCCCUGCGUUAACUUAAACCAACAUUGUCUUGAUGUAAACCAAAACACAUGCUGAGUGAGGAUGUGCGCACAUAGCAGCUUAUCUCCUCUCUCAUCUGCUUCUAAUGACAGCUGAUAAACUAGCCACAACUAAUCCUUUUCUAGCUGCUGAUCAAAUAGACAAUCCAGCAUGGUGGAACACUCGAAAAUUCCUCCUGCUUCUGUUCUACUGCUGCUCUAAAAAGCAGUUUCCUUUUCAUUGAGAUAAUAGCCUUUUCUGCAGUCACAUGACUCAGAACCUACAUUAGCACAGCGUUAUGAUAAUAGACCUCUCUCCUCCCCCAUUCUGCUGCUAUUAAGGAGGGCAUCUCUCCUAAAAACCCACUUAAACAUGUUGUAAAGUGCCAACGCAUUCUGAAACUAUGCCUGCUCAAUAAUAUAGAUACAGCUUAGCUAGGAACAAUUAAUACAGAAUGAAAUCAAGUAUUAUGCAUGAUAUUUAGCAGGCAUAAGUAAUGCUGUUAGGUGUAACUGCAUUCAUUUGUUCUCUGUAACAUCUUAUGAAUAAACCCUUUGUAAAUAUGCUCCUAUCCACACAAGCUAAAAGCAAUAAAUAUUUUUGAGAUUCAUCUCUAACCCUUU